GACGAACGCUGGCGGCGUGCUUAACACAUGCAAGUCGAACGGAAAGGCCCUGCUUUUGUGGGGUGCUCGAGUGGCGAACGGGUGAGUAACACGUGAGUAACCUGCCCUUGACUUUGGGAUAACUUCAGGAAACUGGGGCUAAUACCGGAUAGGAGCUCCUGCUGCAUGGUGGGGGUUGGAAAGUUUCGGCGGUUGGGGAUGGACUCGCGGCUUAUCAGCUUGUUGGUGGGGUAGUGGCUUACCAAGGCUUUGACGGGUAGCCGGCCUGAGAGGGUGACCGGCGAGAUUGGGACUGAGAUACGGCCCAGACUCCUGCGGGAGGCAGCAGUGGGGAAUAUUGCAAAAUGGGCGGAAGCCUGAUGCAGCAACGCCGCGUGCGGGAUGACGGCCUUCGGGUUGUAAACCGCUUUCGCCUGUGACGAAGCGUGAGUGACGGUAAUGGGUAAAGAAGCACCGGCUAACUACGUG
This 468-nucleotide ribosomal RNA is filed under the name uncultured bacterium. Its description in RNAcentral is "partial 16S ribosomal RNA". It matches the Rfam family "Bacterial small subunit ribosomal RNA", at positions 28 to 507 of the family's 1533-position model. The record is from RNAcentral.